This 499-nucleotide ribosomal RNA is filed under the name uncultured Oscillospiraceae bacterium. RNAcentral's name for it is "partial 16S ribosomal RNA". Lineage: Bacteria; Bacillati; Bacillota; Clostridia; Eubacteriales; Oscillospiraceae. The record is from RNAcentral.
CACGUAGUUAGCCGUGGCUUAUUCCUCAGGUACCGUCACUUGCUUCGUCCCUGAGAAAAGAAGUUUACAACCCGAAAGCCUUCUUCCUUCACGCGGCGUUGCUGGGUCAGGCUUGCGCCCAUUGCCCAAUAUUCCCCACUGCUGCCUCCCGUAGGAGUCUGGGCCGUGUCUCAGUCCCAAUGUGGCCGGCCAACCUCUCAGUCCGGCUACUGAUCGUCGCCUUGGUGGGCCGUUACCCCGCCAACUAGCUAAUCAGACGCGAGUCCAUCUCAGAGCGAUAAAUCUUUGAUGUCCAGUGCCAUGCGACACAGACAUAUUAUGCGGUAUUAGCAGCUGUUUCCAGCUGUUAUUCCCCACUCCAAGGCAGGUUACUCACGCGUUACUCACCCGUCCGCCACUAAGUAGUCCCAUCAGUUGUCCGAAAACUCCUUCAGGGGUACUCCGUUCGACUUGCAUGUGUUAAGCACGCCGCCAGCGUUCAUCCUGAGCCAGGAUCAAA